UAUACCGUGAAACUGCGAAUGGCUCAUUAAAUCAGUUAUCGUUUAUUUGAUAGUACCUUACUACUUGGACAACCGUGGUAAUUCUAGAGCUAAUACAUGCUAAAAACCUCGACUUCGGAAGGGGUGUAUUUAUUAGAUAAAAAACCAAUGCCCUUUCGGGGCUCUUUGGUGAUUCAUGAUAACUUAACGGAUCGCAUGGCCUUGCGCCGGCGACGGUUCAUUCAAAUUUCUGCCCUAUCAACUUUCGAUGGUAAGGUAUUGGCUUACCAUGGUGUCAACGGGUAACGGGGAAUUAGGGUUCGAUUCCGGAGAGCGAGCCUGAGAAACGGCUAGCACAUCCAAGGAAGGCAGCAGGCGCGCAAAUUACCCAAUGCCAACAGUGGCGAGGUAGCGACAAUAAAUACUGAUACAGGGCUCUUUUGGGUCUUGUAAUCGGAAUGAGUACAAUUUAAAUCUCUUAACGAGGAACAAUUGGAGGGCAAGUCUGGUGCCAGCAGCCGCGGUAAUUCCAGCUCCAAUAGCGUAUAUUAAAGUUGUUGCAGUUAAAAAGCUCGUAGUUGAACUUUGGGCCUGGCUGGCCGGUCCGCCUCACCGCGAGUACUGGUCCGGCCGGGCCUUUCCUUCUGGAGAUCCGCAUGCCCUUCACUGGGCGUGUUGGGGACCCAGGACUUUUACUUUGAAAAAAUUAGAGUGUUCAAAGCAGGCCUUUGCUCGAAUACGUUAGCAUGGAAUAAUAGAAUAGGAUGUGCCGUCUUAUUUUGUUGGUUUCUAGGACAGCCAUAAUGAUUAAUAGGGAUAGUCGGGGGCAUCAGUAUUCAAUUGUCAGAGGUGAAAUUCUUGGAUUAAUUGACGACUAACUACUGCGAAAGCAUUUGCCAAGGAUGUUUUCAUUAAUCAGUGAACGAAAGUUAGGGGAUCGAAGACGAUCAGAUACCGUCGUAGUCUUAACCGUAAACUAUGCCGACUAGGGAUUGGGCGAUGUUUUUAUCUUGACGCGCCCAGCACCUUACGAGAAAUCA
This 1019-nucleotide ribosomal RNA is filed under the name Xenomassariosphaeria rosae. Its description in RNAcentral is "SSU rRNA". It matches the Rfam family "Eukaryotic small subunit ribosomal RNA", at positions 75 to 1100 of the family's 1831-position model. The record is from RNAcentral. Lineage: Eukaryota; Fungi; Ascomycota; Dothideomycetes; Pleosporales; Paradictyoarthriniaceae.